RNAcentral lists this ribosomal RNA (492 nucleotides) under uncultured bacterium. Its description in RNAcentral is "partial 16S ribosomal RNA". It matches the Rfam family "Bacterial small subunit ribosomal RNA", at positions 29 to 507 of the family's 1533-position model. The record is from RNAcentral.
AGUGAACGCUGGCGGUAGGCCUAACACAUGCAAGUCGAACGGCAGCGCAGUAAGAGCUUGCUCUUACGGGUGGCGAGUGGCGGACGGGUGAGGAAUACAUCGGAAUCUACUUUUUCGUGGGGGAUAACGUAGGGAAACUUACGCUAAUACCGCAUACGGCCUACGGGUGAAAGCAGGGGAUCUUCGGACCUUGCGCGAUUGAAUGAGCCGAUGUCGGAUUAGCUAGUUGGCGGGGUAAAGGCCCACCAAGGCGACGAUCCGUAGCUGGUCUGAGAGGAUGAUCAGCCACACUGGAACUGAGACACGGUCCAGACUCCUACGGGAGGCAGCAGUGGGGAAUAUUGGACAAUGGGCGCAAGCCUGAUCCAGCCAUACCGCGUGGGUGAAGAAGGCCUUCGGGUUGUAAAGCCCUUUUGUUGGGAAAGAAAAGCAGCAGGUUAAUACCCCGCUGUUCUGACGGUACCCAAAGAAUAAGCACCGGCUAACUUCGUG